This is a long non-coding RNA of Homo sapiens (human), 1954 nucleotides long. NCBI's taxonomy places the organism in Eukaryota, Metazoa, Chordata, Mammalia, Primates, Hominidae. The record is from Ensembl.
CCCAGCAGCGUAAGUGGUGACCAGUGUGGGCCUCUUUGAUCCUGAGACCGAAGGCUCGGCCACUGGCCCUCUCCAUUUGUUCCUUGUUGCCCUCCCUUCAUGAUUCAAUCCAUUAAUUAGGACUUUUCCUACCAGCUGGCAGUUCAGAGCUCCGCAUCCCCAGGCCUCUGAGUCACAGUUCCUGCCUUCAUGAAACUAGGAGUUGGGGCCACUGCAUUCUACUCCUUCGGGACUAUUGUUUCAUUUCUCAGUCCCUCAAACCCUUUAUUGGAUGAACAUGGGGUUAGGACAGCGGUUCUCCACUGCAACAGUUUUGCCUCCCAGGAGACAUUUGGCAAUGUAUGAAUCAUUUUCAGCCUCUCAUCUGGGGUGAGAUGUCAUUGGAAUCUACAGAUGGUGGAGGGCACAGGCUAUUUUCUGAUCGGUUUCUGAAACCUGAAAAUGGAAUUAGCAGAAGAACUAUCCUGAACGAAUAUGUGACCACAGAGUAGGAUCCUCUUGAGCCCCAAAUGAGAUAUAACUAUUACCAUAAUCAAGAGUUGACUGGAGGUAAAGAACACUACAAUCCCAGUGUUCUAGUGACAAAGCCACUAAAGAAGCUGGUUCUGACCUACUGUAAGCAAGCCAUGCAGACUCAGCAGACCAGAAAACGUCUUUCUCCUGCUUUUCAGGCUACUUGCUCAUACCAUUUACCUAUACCACUUAGUUGCUCAUCUAUUAAACUUAGAGGACUUUUCCCUCUUUCAUUUCAUAGCCAGGCAGACUGCCCAAGACACCCUUGGGGAAACCUACUAUUUUUUUCUGUCUACCACGGUGUUUCGAACUUCUCACACUUCUGAGAAUCCUCCUCCUUCUCAGUAGACAACCAUGGAUUCUACUGCAGAAAACACAGAAGCCAUCAGAUUCAAACUCUUUCACCUUCACGCCAACCCAUCUAUAAGCCUUCUUAAAUUUGUACCCAGAUGGGCCUCCUGUCUUUGUGUUAACAUGAAAAAGUGUCUCUUCCUGUCUAUCUAAAGCCAAUCCCACCUCCUACGCUCUGCUGCCCUUCCCAUCUUCUAGGAACCGUGUGCUUCUUUCCUUACAUUGGCUCUCCAGGUGUCUCAUCCAUUCUCAUAGCUUUAAAAGACACUUAUUUUCGUCACUGGUGUCAGCAGCCCAACCUUCUACUCAGACGCCAGCCUAUACACCCUACUGCCUAUCUCACAUCUCUUCUUGAUGUCCCACAGAUAACUCAAUUUAUCUAAAAUGUAACCCAAUUUUUUUUCUUAUCCCUACUCUUAUUAUACUAACUAGCACCAACCGUCAACCCAGUUGCUCAAGCUAGGAAUCUGAAAGUCAUUGAUUUUCGCUUUCCCUCAUUCCUUACAUUUAUCAGCAAACUGUCAAAUCCACUUCCAAAAAUCUCCACUCCAGUCUCCACUGGCACCACCCUAUUUCAAGCUGCCAUCAUCUCUUGCACUGACUACUGCCACAGCCUCCUAACUGGUCUCCUUCAUUCCAUUCAGCACUUUGCAUACAACAGCCAGAGUCAUCUUUUCAGCGCUUUCAUGCCAUUCCCCUGCUGAAAAUCCUUUGCAACUGCUUCUAACUGCACUUAAAUAAAAUCCAAAUGCCGUAUCAGGUCUACAAAGCCCCACACAAUACAGCCUAUCUACUCCUCCAAAUUUAUCCUGUGCUACUCUUCCUUUGCUCCAGCCACACUGGCCUUUUUUAGUUCUAAGAAUCAUAUAACUAAGCUCUUUCCUGCCGCAGUGCCCUUGUACAUGCUACUCCACUCCUGGAAUGUCUAACUCUCUCUCAUCUUUCAGGUUUUAGCAUUAAUUCCAUAUUCUCAGAGAAGCCUUUUUUAGCUACCCUAGCCCUCCAAUGUCCUAUGUCCCCCCAUACUGUUGUAUUUCAGUAUCCUGUGAUAUCACUGAUCAAAAUUUAUAUUCAUUUUGUUUGUUGUUGG